This 499-nucleotide ribosomal RNA is filed under the name uncultured bacterium. RNAcentral's name for it is "partial 16S ribosomal RNA". It matches the Rfam family "Bacterial small subunit ribosomal RNA", at positions 28 to 507 of the family's 1533-position model. The record is from RNAcentral.
GAUGAACGCUGGCGGCGUGCCUAAUACAUGCAAGUCGAGCAAACAGACGAGAGUGCUUGCACUCUCUGACGUUAGCGGCGGACGGGUGAGUAACACGUGGGUAACCUACCUAUAAGACUGGGAUAACUUCGGGAAACCGGAGCUAAUACCGGAUAAUAUUUAGCUUCGCAUGAAGCAAUAGUGAAAGACGGUUCUGCUGUCACUUAUAGAUGGACCCGCGGUGUAUUAGCUAGUUGGUGAGGUAACGGCUCACCAAGGCAACGAUACAUAGCCGACCUGAGAGGGUGAUCGGCCACACUGGGACUGAGACACGGCCCAGACUCCUACGGGAGGCAGCAGUAGGGAAUCUUCCGCAAUGGACGAAAGUCUGACGGAGCAAUGCCGCGUGAGUGAAGAAGGUUUUCGGAUCGUAAAACUCUGUUGUAAGGGAAGAACAAGUACGUUAGUAACUGAACGUACCUUGACGGUACCUUACCAGAAAGCCACGGCUAACUACGUG